GUGGGGAAUAUUGGACAAUGGGCGCAAGCCUGAUCCAGCCAUGCCGCGUGAGUGAUGAAGGCCUUCGGGUUGUAAACUGCUUUUGUACGGAACGAAAAGACUCUGGUUAAUACCUGGGGUCCAUGACGGUACCGUAAGAAUAAGCACCGGCUAACUACGUGCCAGCAGCCGCGGUAAUACGUAGGGUGCAAGCGUUAAUCGGAAUUACUGGGCGUAAAGCGUGCGCAGGCGGUUAUAUAAGACAGAUGUGAAAUCCCCGGGCUCAACCUGGGAACUGCAUUUGUGACUGUAUAGCUAGAGUACGGCAGAGGGGGAUGGAAUUCCGCGUGUAGCAGUGAAAUGCGUAGAUAUGCGGAGGAACACCGAUGGCGAAGGCAAUCCCCUGGGCCUGUACUGACGCUCAUGCACGAAAGCGUGGGGAGCAAACAGGAUUAGAUACCCUGGUAGUCC
Molecule: ribosomal RNA, 450 nt
Filed under: uncultured bacterium
Lineage: Bacteria
Description: partial 16S ribosomal RNA
Rfam family: Bacterial small subunit ribosomal RNA
Source: RNAcentral